AUUGAACGCUGGCGGAAUGCUUUACACAUGCAAGUCGAACGGCAGCACGGACUUCGGUCUGGUGGCGAGUGGCGAACGGGUGAGUAAUGUAUCGGAACGUGCCCAGUCGUGGGGGAUAACGUAGUGAAAAUUACGCUAAUACCGCAUACGAUCUAUGGAUGAAAGCGGGGGAUCGCAAGACCUCGCGCGAUUGGAGCGGCCGAUACCGGAUUAGGUAGUUGGUGGGGUAAAGGCCCACCAAGCCAACGAUCUGUAGCUGGUCUGAGAGGACGACCAGCCACACUGGAACUGAGACACGGUCCAGACUCCUACAGGAGGCAGAAGUGGGGAAAUUUGGACAAUGGGCGAAAGCCUGAUCCAGCCAUUCCGCGUGCAGGAUGAAGGCCCUCGGGUUGUAAACUGCUUUUGUACAGAACGAAAAGGUUUCUACUAAUACUAGGAGCUCAUGACGGUACUGUAAGAAUAAGCACCGGCUAAGUACGUGCCAGCCGCCGCCGUAA
This 500-nucleotide ribosomal RNA is filed under the name uncultured bacterium. RNAcentral's name for it is "partial 16S ribosomal RNA". It matches the Rfam family "Bacterial small subunit ribosomal RNA", at positions 30 to 523 of the family's 1533-position model. The record is from RNAcentral.